AAUAAACCAAUUUUCCACUUUUUACCUUUAAUUUUUGAGUCUUUGUCUUAUUCAAAUUUUUUUUGCGAUUGAUAUUUUUGUUUUUAUUAGAUGAUAAACCAUGAAUAGUAUUUUACGCAUGCUAAUUUUUUUCUAAUUUUCUAAAAAGUUUUCAAAUAAAACGGAUGGUCAAACGUUGGACGUAGAAACCGAAAAAUUCGUUUUUU
Molecule: microRNA precursor, 206 nt
Filed under: Oryza brachyantha (malo sina)
Lineage: Eukaryota; Viridiplantae; Streptophyta; Magnoliopsida; Poales; Poaceae
Description: MIR812 microRNA precursor family
Rfam family: MIR812 microRNA precursor family
Source: Rfam by way of RNAcentral